UCGCUGUGAUGACGCUUUUUCCUGCCAUUCGUAGUUUCCUCCGGAGGCCGAGAGGCCAAAGACGGUUCAAACCUUCCUUGGAUGUCUGAGCGA
Small nucleolar RNA from Neogobius melanostomus (round goby), 93 nucleotides. Its record names the gene SNORD14. It matches the Rfam family "Small nucleolar RNA SNORD14". From Rfam's summary of the family: U14 small nucleolar RNA (U14 snoRNA) is required for early cleavages of eukaryotic precursor rRNAs. In yeasts, this molecule possess a stem-loop region (known as the Y-domain) which is essential for function. The record is from Ensembl. Lineage: Eukaryota; Metazoa; Chordata; Actinopteri; Gobiiformes; Gobiidae.